AUUGAACGCUGGCGGCAGGCCUAACACAUGCAAGUCGAGCGGAUGAAGGGAGCUUGCUCCUGGAUUCAGCGGCGGACGGGUGAGUAAUGCCUAGGAAUCUGCCUGGUAGUGGGGGAUAACGUCCGGAAACGGGCGCUAAUACCGCAUACGUCCUGAGGGAGAAAGUGGGGGAUCUUCGGACCUCACGCUAUCAGAUGAGCCUAGGUCGGAUUAGCUAGUUGGUGGGGUAAAGGCCUACCAAGGCGACGAUCCGUAACUGGUCUGAGAGGAUGAUCAGUCACACUGGAACUGAGACACGGUACAGACUCCUACGGGAGGCAGCAGUGGGGAAUAUUGGACGAUGGGCGAAAGCCUGAUCCAGCCAUGCCGCGUGUGUGAAGAAGGUCUUCGGAUUGUAAAGCACUUUAAGUUGGGAGGAAGGGCAGUAAGUUAAUACCUUGCUGUUUUGACGUUACCAGCAGAAUAAGCACCGGCUAACUUCGUG
RNAcentral lists this ribosomal RNA (484 nucleotides) under uncultured bacterium. RNAcentral describes it as "partial 16S ribosomal RNA". It matches the Rfam family "Bacterial small subunit ribosomal RNA", at positions 30 to 507 of the family's 1533-position model. The record is from RNAcentral.